CAUGCAUGAUCUGUCUUUUGACUUGGAUAGAACCUUUUUAAAAGGUAGACCCGUGUAUUCAUUUAUGUUGUCUUCCCAUCGCUUUCGCAAAUACCUGGGGAAUUUUUAAAGCAGUUUUCGCAUGAGUGACUUCACGAUUUCGCAGUAUUUUUAGACCGAAAUUUACUUCCUUGUUAAAUAAAACAGCAUAGCUUUGUAGUUAAAUAAAUAGGCUUCAAGCUACUUGGAUGUUAAAUUAUGGACGUAUUAUCACAUCUACUGAAGAAAAACUCAACUGUAGUAUGUUUCAAACUCUAGGAGUGAAUCAAAAGUAUGGAUUACAAAGUGUGUUUAUAUCUGUGCGCUCUAAUGUUUCAAUAUAACUUUGAAACUGGAUCUUGCGAAAAGAAAGAUUGGAAAGUAUUUUCAUGCAACAAAAAGAGCGAUACAGAGAAGAUGAAGAAUUACUUCUGUUCUUCACCAAGUAAUCAACAAAUGCAAUCUGCUUUGACAAUUGAAUGCCCCAUGUCUUGUUGUUUAGAAAAUAUUACAACUUUAAAUUUAAAUCUAGAUAACAAUACUUGUGAAUUUAAAAUCAACACAAAUAAAACGAAAUGUGAAGACGAUUGUUGUAAACGUUUUGAAGUUAAUGUGACUGGUACAUUUAAGGAAACCUCAAAUAUAUUCAUUUGUGAUCUUGAUGACGAAAAUUUGACUAUUAC
This is a long non-coding RNA of Biomphalaria glabrata, 701 nucleotides long. RefSeq lists it as uncharacterized. The transcript has 3 exons. The record is from RefSeq and is a predicted model, not a curated record. NCBI's taxonomy places the organism in Eukaryota, Metazoa, Mollusca, Gastropoda, Planorbidae.